UCGGUGUUUGUAACCUUUUGCGUUGCACAUGCUCUGCCGUGUGGCGCUGCUUCAGGUGGUGAAAAAGAUUUGUAUUCCCCGACUUUGUGAGAACAUGUACUCGACAUAAUUUACAGUCCACAUUACUCUGCUUCUGCGUCACCUGUUAAAGUGCUAUGGUUGCUGUUCUACGCAGUUGUUUGCUACUUCGUUCUAAUUCAGCACGAUUGGUUCAGCGCGACGCAGACCCGGAGCAACUCUAUAGCCACAAAUAAUGCUCACUUCAUCAACAGUACAUAUAGGGUCCCAGCCAUCAAACAUCUUUUUAACUUUAGCGAACAGAUUAAACACAACUCACCUACUCUCUUCCAGCAGCCGCAUGUUUGUACGGAGACCUCCGGGUGAGUCCAUCGACUGCAGCGGGGAGACGCAGCUCAAGGAAGAACAUUUAUGAUCAUUUCUUCAUGAAAAUACAAUCAGACAGAGACGCUAAGACAGAAGAACUACUGCGUCUGCAGAGCAAAAUGAUUAAUAUGAUGAUUAUUACUUCAAGGAAAUGAUAAAGUAAUAGCUAUAAAUGUUCUUCCUUGAGCUGCGGAGGUCUCCGUACAAACAAGCCGCUGCUGGAAGAGAGUGAGUAGCAUGACACUGACAGUUCUGAGUCCUAAAGACUGAGAUUGUUCCAGACUUUAUGCUUCAAAACUUCGGCCCACAAACCAUUGGUCUAUGUCACACUGGCUUCCUAUGUACAGUCCUUGAAAUAACCACAUGAAACUUUAGUGUAUGUGCUGGAAAAAUGAAUACAUUGCAAACGAUCGCAACAUUGAAAAACUCUAUUAUUCGAAGGACCAUUUUAUCACCUUUUAAAGUCUUUAACCAGCCUAAAUAACAUGCCUGAAAAGUGAUGGACAUGUCAUUGUUUGCAGAAAUAUCUGGCUGCCACAUGUUGAUCGGAGCCUCUGGAUAAAUAUCUGGCUGUGAUUCCUCCGCCUCUGUAGUUUCCUCUGUUUCCUGUUUAGAUGGAGAAGAUGGAGCAUACAUUUCUCUACACUUUGAUGUUAUUUCAUCUGCAGUUCAGCUCAGAAAAAAAGAGGAAGCCGCGGACAGUUGAUGUGAUUUAGUGUGAAACCACAAACAAUCAGAGACUUUCUUUGCAUGAAAUGGAUAACAGACGCCUAUAAUGCAAAGACUGAAGCUGGGAUUUUGUUUAUGUUGCUCUUAUAGUUUUUUUCCUCAGGUCUAUUUUAGUGAGUGGGCUUUAUGUUCUUCAUGUAAAGGUCAAAAAGGUGAUUUUAUUCUGUUAUUAUCUCUGCAGCUGCUUCUAUUACAGGCUUAAUUUAUCCUCCUCCGUACAUGGACACGGUACAGUACAAGUUUGUACACUUUCUGUGGGCCUAUUCACGUGUUGGCUCGAACCCAUGUCCAGGCAUGUGUUGAACCAGCGUUGGCGCAAUGACAGCGGCGCGUGCCACAGUCAGCAGCAGCAGAGAGUGUGCGCGUGAGAAGGUAACAGAUCCUGAUGACCCCGAGACUGUCUCAGAGGUAGGAGGCUAAAUUUACCCGCAGAGACCCGCACUCUUGAAUUAAGCAGACUGAUGAAAUGCUGAGCUGAUGUUGAUGUAGAGACUGAGGUGGGUCGGUGCAAAAAUACUCUGUAACUGUAGAUCCGCUUCGUUUGUGUCUGAGGGACAUGUGCACGAGGUCUGUUUACACCGCUUUGUCUCAACUGGUUUAAAGCGGAAAUAAAAACACAGAAGAUGAGUUUAGACACAAUAAGUGUCAUAAAUAUCACAAAUUAAUCAAGUAUAUAGUUGCACCGAGAUCUACUGUACUUUUUCCAUGGUGUACAUGGCCGGUUAGCUCAGUUGGUUAGAGCGUGGUGCUAAUAACGCCAAGGUCGCGGGUUCGAUCCCCGUACGGGCCAAUAAUUAUGUUACUGUCACUGCAAGUUGGGUGAGGAGAUGUUACCGGUGUGUUAAUUGACAGUCUAUAUGCAGCAUAUCGACAUUGACCAUAGACCAUCUUCCUCCUCACUGGGUAAAGUCCAUAGACUGUAUAUAAGAUGGACAGAGGCUGUGUCCGAAAUGGCCUACUACUCCUACUACUCCUACUAACCCCGCCUCUGAAUUGAGUAUUCACACUGUACAGUAUGCGAAUUUUGUGUAUGCGAGAAAUGCCCGGAUGUAUACUCAAUCGGCUUCGAUUUCUGAGUGUGCAACGGAGCUUGCUUCAGUACUGCUUCUGCCCCACAAUGCAUUGCGCACCUCAGCUGGUAAUAUGGCCCUCCUUCCCGAGGCUGAAAAGAAAUAGAUGGCAUGUGAUUGCAAUAAUAAUGAUAUAUAUAUAAAUAGAUAAACAAUAUUUAGUCCGUAUACAUUACACAAUUUUCAUCAUUUUAUCAUAUUUUGAUCUUUUUACCGGAUUUAUUUGUAUUUUAAAUUAGGAUUAUAGGCAAUGUUUUUAACUAUUCGUAUGAAUUGACUUUAUUUAUUUAAGUGUCUAUUAAAGAUGUAUUUAUUACAUCAAGUUUGAGCAUCUUCUCAUCUCUGAAUGCAUCAUCAAAGUGGUCGCUCAUAUUAAGCACAGACCUCUGAUUAAUAAAAAUUAUCUUUGGUAGAGAGCACAUGGUUCAGAAUAUACAAACAGGGGAGUUUCCAGUUGACAAUCUAUGUGAGCUUUACUAAUUCUUACUUGUGAUUGAAAAUCUGAUGGUUUCUGAAAUUAUCAUUGUACAUGAAAAGAAUGUAGUCGGGAAAUGAUGUAUUUGCCAAGGAAUAACCGAACAAGGUCAUAAUAAUUAUGUUGUGUGUUGGUCAUUUUGCAGCCCUCUGCUGCUCAUCACACGGCCAGCAGGUGGUGUAUAGCAUUAUCACCAUGGAUACACGGAUGUUUGGGUGAUUUUUUUCAUCCACUGCCGCCCGGUUUGUGUCGUGUAGAUGGUGAUGAUGAAAACACUUCGCAAUAAUUUGGAAACGUGAAGGGGGGGCUGCUGACGCAAACACCGACCAAGUGGACGCUUCGGUCUCCGAAAACGCCGAGACAAAUUUACAAACAGCCACUAUUUCAAACAACUGGGCUCAUAAUCGUGAUGUAAACACUUACUUUCUCGCUAGAAAAAAAUAUUAUUAUUGAAUGAAUUUAUAUAAUUUGUCCGGGAUGCAGUCGUUCUGUGUGGCUUGUGGUAGGACUAUUUAAAUUUUCCCGGCGCUGCGUCCGGCCGGCACGAAAUGCAUUCUGGGGUAUUUAGUAUGUAUGUGUGUAAACGCUCGGGCAGCCGCGGCAUACUCAAAUCCUCUUUGAGUAGUCAGUAGGCAGUAGCUACUGCUUGAGUAGGUAAGUAGAUAGUAGGCAGUAUGCCAUUUCGGACACAGCCAGAGUCUGCCUCCUCGCUGGGUGAAGCUACUCAGAGAACAGCACCCUCUGAUGGUGGGCUGCAGUACAGGUCAUAAAUCCCGCCUCCGCCAGCAAAGCUAAUGGGACUGUGGACAAACUUUAGAAAUUUAUUACACAGAACAUAAAUUUUUCUCCCUCCUGAUUGUGAUGUUGACAUGAAGUUACAGUAAGACUGGUUUGUGCUCAAAGUCCUUUUUUUUUUCUGUGAAGCUCCGUUUUUAAAAGUUAUUAGGGGGUUCAUGAUUUCUGUGAUUGACACCUGACACAGCCAAUGGGCCUUCAGGGAUUGCGUAGUUCACCCGGGGGAUACGCUGUUUGAGCCGAGAGUCAUCACAGCGACUCUCUACUGCGCAGCUGGUUUCAGGAAAUGAAGAAAAAUCCCGGAAAUACAGAGAGCUUUUUGGCUUCAAAUCCAUAUAAAGGCGGUAGGCGGAACCAAGUGGUCCAUAGUAUAUACAGUCUAUGGUUUAGACACAAUAGAAAUAUCAUAAUUAUACGAAUUUACCAAAUAGAUACUUGCAGUACAACUUUCUGUAUUUUUUCUGUAUUGCAUAAGGCCGGUUAGCUCAGUUGGUUAGAACGUGGUGCUAAUAACGCCAAGGUCGCGGGUUCGAUCCCCGUACGGGCCAAUAGUUAUGUUACUGUCAGUGUAAAUUUGGCAAGGAGAUGCUACCUGUGUGUUAAUUAACAGUCUCUAUGCAGCAUGUCUACAUUGACAGCAAUACAUCCAAAAACAGUGACAUGAAAACUUUGUCACCUGCUGUGCAACCAGAAAGAUCAGAAGGUGAUAUUAAAAAUACAGGAAAUAAAUGAGAAGAAAAUUUAAAUUAGAAGUUUGAAAGGUCAAAAUUUUCCCGAUUUUUCUCCAGUACUUGAAACCAACAUUGCGCAGCAGUGUUGUAUACACUUCACCACUUGCGCAAUUGCAUUGUACGCAUUUGGAGGGAGAGUCGCCAAAAGUUGCUGCGAUGACGCUCGUGCAAACAGCGUAUCCCUCGGUGAGCUAUGCAAUCUUCAUACCCCUAUAGGCUGUAUCAGGUGUCAAUAACAGAAAACACGAACCCUCUAACAACUUUUAAAAAUGGAGCAGUACAGAAAAAGAGGACUUGAGCACAAACCAGUCUGACAGUAACUACAUGUCAACAUGUUUGUCCACAGCUCCAUAAGCUAGGAAGGCUAGAUGACUUGAGGCGGAGUCACCGGCGUCCCUACACGGCAGCCAUCUUACUCCAGUAUACGAUUCUGGAACUGACGGAAGGUGAGUAAUCUGCAUGAUCAAAAAAAAAUCGCUGAAAUCUUGACAGAUUUACGAAUGGUUUGGUUUAUUACAGACCUUAAUAACGUGGCUAUGAGUCGGGAUGCUUGGACAUAUAGAAAUGGCAGAUUUACUUUGAGAAAAAAAAAAGAUUUAAUCGUAAAGUACAGUUGUUUCACAGCUAUCUGCGCGCAAGGGCUAACUUUGGGUAGCUUUGCACAAGUUGUCAAGGCUCAGACCACAAUCGAGAAUUUAAUUUCUUUUAAGACAGCCUUUUUAAAAUGUAUUUAUUUAGUCCAAGUGACAGCUUUUGUGGAUGUGCUUGUGUUUAUUAGCUGUCCCUUCACCAAAUAAAUACUUACGGCGAGAUAUUCUGUGCUUUCUCAUAGCUGCACAUGGCCGGUUAGCUCAGUUGGUUAGAGCGUAGUGCUAAUAACGCCAAGGUCGCGGGUUCGAUCCCCGUACGGGCCAAUAAUUAUGUUACUGUCACUGCAAGUAUUGUUAGUAGAUCUUACAGUGUGUUAAUGAUAGUCUCUGUGCGAUGUGUUGUUGACAGUGACACUAAGAAUACGACAUUACCAAAUCUGUAUCACCAACUGUACAACCUAGAUAUUUAAGGGUUUUCAAUGAUUCAGAUCUGCACAACAAGCUGGUCCAGUUUUAAAUAUUUCUACCAGUGAGGAGCAUUUUGUUUUUCUUUUUUGCUGCUGAAAUUACACCAGUUGAAAGAGGAAGAGGAGAAGAGUGGUUGUAACGCUCAUAAGUAUUUGUUAUGAAGGUCAUUUUGAUCAAUCUCAGUCUCUUAUUGUCCUCAAUAACUGCGGUCGCUUCGCUAAUUUGAGGAGUGAGCGAGGGAGCGUUUAGAUGUAGAAUCUGUCGGCCAGGAUGAGCCAAAUAUGCCAGUUCCUACACUCUAUAUCAAACUUAAUUCAGACUUUUCUGUUUACUUACAGACCCGACAAACUCUGCAGCGUCUCAUUUUAAAAAUGUGAGUAUAUAUGGUCUGUGUGGAUACUAAAUCAGUCUCUCCAGUGCGCUCUCUCUGCUCUUUAAAAGCCUCUCAGACUCUCACUAAUAAGUAACUUGAUGCUUGUGGAUAACCGGCGUACUUUUACAGCUUCAUAUAAUACAUAAAAUAUGUCAGAGCGAUGUUGUGAACCAGCUGUGGGGAAGCUUUGAAGUGAGGACACGAGGUCACUCUGCGCUCCCAGAAAAAGCUCUGAGUGUUUUUACUGCUCUGGGUGCAGCGGCCGCUUUAAUAUUCACAUGUUGCUUCAAUGAAGGAGGUUUUUUAAUGGUAAUCUUUGCUGCUGGUCUCGUUUAUGUGUGACCUGUGAUUCAACCUGAUCCAGAGAAACAAACAGAAAUCGUUUUAUUAAUAGAGUUCUUGACCUCGGGUGGAGUUUAGGUCCAAACUUGUGACAUUAUCAGAGCUGUGGUGUAACUUUUGUGUUGUUACUGAUCACUUUUCUGGUCCUGAGAGACAAACCGCCCUCCAUUAGGACUCUUUAUGAAUGACCUGCAGCUGUUUUCAGUCCUGACAAACACUCUUGGCUUUGCAGACGUUCAUACAAAUAUCCUCCACAUUGCAGAAAGCUCUUUCAUUCACAUGUUUCUCCUCCAACCUGCAGACUUUGAAGUUGCUGAGAUCACUGUUUUCUUUAAUUCCUAACCAUCCUUUUUUUGUUUGCAGUGAGCCUCCAGAUUGUUAGCAGAUUAUAGAAACCUGAACCCUGAAGGAAGAGGAUCGACUCCAUCGGGUUUGUUUUCAUCUUUGGUAUUUAUAUUUUGGUUCAGACCUGGACUGAGUCAGCAGUCAGGCAUCUGCUGCACUGAUUGUCACUAAGACCUUGGGGCUGCUGAAGGUGAGGUCAUUUUUACCAGGGGUCAGAGGUGACUCCUGCCAUGCGUCAUAGCACAUGCCACUGACAUGAUGUUAUUGUGGACAGAUAUUGAGAGGGGGGGUUCCUGAGACCGAACAGAGGAUCAGGUGAUCACAGAGCCAGAAGUUUGUGCCAGAGCUUAUUUAACAGACACGACAGGCUGCAGCGUAGUCCCCGAUCAAUCACCGUGAUAGACGUGAUGACAAUUGAAGGAAGAGGGGCUGGACUAGACGACUCCCAGGAAGAGGAUUUAUGGGUUUAUGUUAACGCAAACACCAGGUGGUCACCAGGUUGUUGAAGUGUAUCGGCUAUUUUUGACCAACCUUUCUCUUUUUUUAGUCUGUUGUGUUCGACCUUCAUGACACAGUUGCCUAAGCUUGAUGAACUAUACCUCUGUCCAGUGUUGUGCCGGAAAGCGUUCAUAUUUCGGGUGAAUGUGAACGUAUUGUUCUUUAUUUGCAUGUGAGAGCGUUGGUGUUGAAUGCGCUCAUUCUGGCGUCUGUGAGUGGCGUAAGUGUGCCAGAUGUCCAGAGUCUUCCAGGCGAAACCCCGGCUAAAACACACCGUACACAGGCCUUCAUAUUUAGCAGAAAGCUACCUAACCUGGCAACAGCAAAAAGCCUGACUGUCACUCCGAUAAAUACAUCAGUCGUCAUGACUUCAGUAUACACGAUGGACAAACUCACCAAAUAAAUACUUGCAGGCCAAUUAUGUGUAUUUUUUCUGCACUGCACAUGGCCGGUUAGCUCAGUUGGUUAUAGCGUGGCGCUAAUAACGCCAAGGUCGCGGGUUCGAUCCCCGUACGUAUGUUACUGUCACUGCGAGUACGGUUAGUAGAUCUUACAGUGUGUUAAGGGCAGUCUCUAUGUGAUGUGUUUGCAUUGACACUAGGAAUACGACAUUACGAAGUCUACAUCACCAACGGUACAACCUAGAUAUUUAAGGGUCAUAGGGACUUAGAGCUAGCUGCCCAAAGCACUGACACAGACGGUAAAAAUCGAACCUUUUUGUGUAAACGUUGUCCGCCUAGUUUGAGGAAGCAAGUCCGAACAGCGACGACGUCUUUAGCAAACCUUAAACGAAUAUAAUAUCAUAUCACAAUAUCAUAUCAUUAUUGUUAAUUGUUAUUUUUAUUUCCAUUAUUUGUUCUGGUUCAUUUUUAGUUAGACUCAAAUGGAAUUUGAUGUGAAUUGUUUCCAGGUCGGUUUGGAAAAGUAUAGAAAUGAAAAAAAACUUAAGGAAUACAGUCCUGUUGUUGUAAUCAUAAUAAAGAGUCUAAAAACCAUCCAAGCAGCAGGUUUUUCUCAUGUUUAUGAAAAUAAACUCUAGAGAUAAAUGUUCCUACUAUUGAGGACUGAACUAAACAUCAGGGAAACACCAGUAAUCUGAGGACUGUCCUCUCAGUGAUGUUGUAAACCUGGUUGGAUUAGGAUUAAAAAAUGGAUAUGAAGAUUAAUCUGAUGUAGUUUCAGUGUUAAAACGGUUAAAAUAAUCGCUGUCUGUGGUUCUAUAUGGGGUCCGUAAAAACUCCUGACAAAUAAGAGCUUUCAGCAAAGUACUGGAGAAAAAAAAACUAAAUUAGUUCAUUUUUGUGAACCAUGAACUGAACUUUGAACUAGCUCAGGUAGAAAGUGAACUUCCCCGACACUGCCUCUGUCACAUCACUCCAUCUCUUUUUCUAACAACUCCAACUUCACCUCUUUUUGUCUCUGAUUGUUAGUUUUGUGGAUACCGCUCGCUCCGACUAAACCACAUCUGUAUUAGAGUCGAGCAACUCAAGUUAUUAGAGUUUGUGCUGAUCAGUCUGGAAAGUUUAUUAUCGUCACAUCCUUUUAAUAGCAUGACUCAACAGUUUUGGCUUUGACUGAGUCAGGUGGAGACAAUCUGUUGAGCAGUCUCACGUCAGCUGGAGAGGGUGCAACUGAAAGGCAAACCAGCAGGGGGCAGUCUUCUCUCAGUGUCUGCACAAUCCCCCCCAGAUGCCAUGAUACAUUAAGUCUGCUGUUACCAGAUACUAAAAUGCAUCAUGGAUGUUUUAUAAAGAAGCUUUCAUCAACAGGAACAAUAUUUGGAUAAGAGGAGAAAAGUCGAUUUCCUUGUUGUCUGAUUUUUCCAUCUGCUGCAGAUGUGGGGGUUGUUGUUUGAGUUUUCAUUAACAGCAGUAAAAAAAAAAAGAAAAAGUUCCCUCGCAUCCACGGAGAAAAUGUUUCCAUGUGGGACAGUGAGUCAUGAGCAUGAGACCGAGACAAGAGUCCAAGAGGAUGUGGGAGAAUGAACAGAAGACGGUGAUGAGAAAAAGAGGAGUGGGAUCAGAGAGAGAGGAAGAGGAGGAGAUGGAGCAUGAGCUGGUGGGAAGAGUGAGGAGGAGAAGAGCAUCACUGAGUGAGUGCCAACUGGACAAACAUCUGCUGCUGCCGAGGGUGAGAGGAAAAGAAACCAGAAGUCAGAUUUCUGUUAACGAAGUUUUAUCCCUGAGGUCUUUGGUGGUACCAGAUGACCUCUGAGGGUCUUUCCAAAACCGCCUCCUUGACUCCCUCCUCUCACACCUCCCACCUGUUUGCAUCUGCCAAACUGAAUCCCACCCAGAGCCUCUGAGUGUGGAGUGAAAGUGGCCAAGUCUGCACUGAUGGACUGUGUCCGUCCAAGUCCCCGAGCAAGAAUUGAUUAACUGAUGGAAGAACGUCGCCCCCUUUUUAACUCGUUACUGUGGGGCCGCCACAUGUUAGCGAGAGGCUAACAGAGAGAGUGUCGAAUGCUGAAACACUGUGAGUAGGAGGUGUCAGCAGAUCCACAACCAUGACAGAUCAUAGACUGAAUAUAGAAUAGACGCCGUCUGCCUCCUCGAUGGGUGAAGCCACUCUGAGAACAGCGCCCUCUGGUGACGGGCUGCAGUGUUUCAGUUUGUGGAUCUGUCGUGCAGUGACCUACUCCAUCCAGCAGGGGCGCAAGGAGGGUUGUGGAUCAGUCACGGUUGUGGAUUGAACACUGUUACCCUACAGAUCUAUUGAUCCAGUAUGUUUGGCACAUCAGCUCCAUUUCUUGUACGUUUCUCUAAAAUCUGGUCGACAGCAUAUUUAUGUGCUUAAUCUAAAGAUGUGCGGCGUUUUCAAUCCAGAUGUCCACCCUGCUGCCUCUCUGCAGGCAGCAGCUACGCAGGAUGGCGUAACACAAACCGCCCGCUGAUUUGGUCUUUAGCAUCAUAAUUUUCCACAAAUGGUCGUUUUCCCUCCUUUUUUUCAAAUGCUAAAAUCUCCUGCUAUACGAGCGCCUCUCCUGAGAGACUCUCCCGCGUCGUUGCCAAAUUCAUGAGUACUAACAGAACAUGCAAAGUGAUUCUCAUGGGCUCAGAAUUGGAUGCAGUCUCUGGAUGCAGCUGUUUUCCAGCAGUGUGACCUCUGUAAGAGUAUCCAGAUAAUGACCACGGGCUCCCAGCCCUCACAGCUCUCAUCCAGAUUUCCUAAUCCUCUAUUAAAAGUCCACAUAGUCAGCAGGACUUAACUUGGCUUACAGUGACCGACCAACAGCCAAAACUAAAAGGGCCUUUUUAAGAGCCCAGUGUGUACCCUUCAGUCGUCGAGGACGUCACCUCUGGAUUUAGUGAAGAGCAGAGAUCCCAGGCAGGGUAGAGUGAGGACAUGCGCUGUGUUUUCAUCGUUCAGUUUACAAGUCGACUCUUAAUUGAAGACAAAAGUUCAAAUAUGAAUUCAUGUUUCAAAUUAAGACUUCUUCAGAGUUAUAUAACACUUCUCCGAACCUCAACCAGCUGCAGUUUACACUUUGUUCUUCUUCUUCUUCUUCUUCGCUGAAAGUUUCUGUCAGUUAUUAAACUUUAUUACAGUUCGCUUCAAAGACAUUCUCCUUUUUUUUUUUUUGUUUGCUUUCAAGAACAAUGGGAAACUUAAACCUCCAUACUGAAUGUUCGCUGUGGUCUGAGUUUCUAAAUCCAGACUCUUCGUCAUGGACCUCCAUUGUUCUUCAGACACUUCAUAAAGGCAUCGAUAAACCGCAUGGUUGUAGAGGACUCCACAAGAGCACACCAAACUGCAGCCAGAAAUUACUCAUCAAGAACCGAACCAUCAGAAAGUGACGCUCAGUUUACUCCAAAUGACAAUGAGCUGCAGCUUCAGGGAGUAUUGAUAAUGGAUCAAUAAGGCUGCAGGACGUGUAUCUGAAAUAUUAAGUAUGUACAUUGAUCAUGUUGUUGAGUUAUUUCCCUCUCUUCUCUCUCCAAACCCAGUUCAGUCUCAGCUAAGGCUGGGCGAUAUGGGAAAAAGUUAAUCAUGAUAUAUUUUUUCAUAUCAGUUGAUAUUGAUAUAUAUCACAAUAUAAAAAAAAGUAACUUCAAUUUUAGAUGUUCCCUGUUACUCUUAAAUGAAAUGUAACAGUGUUUAUUGGUAGCAUGUCUUUUGCAAUACAAUAAUCUGCAUCUGUGAGGUCUUUGUGUCUCUUUGACGUUUUGUCGUGAGGCGUUGCGCUAGAGAAAACAGACUGAAUGGUCAUCUGUUUCGGCUGCACAGUGCUAAAGUGCUAUGGUUGGGUGUAGCUGCAGUUGUUUGCCACUUGGUUCUAAUUCAGCACGAUUGGUUCAGCGUGACACAGACCCAGAGCAACUCCCUUUUCAUUCGCUAUUUGUAUAGACGGGUUUCUGUGCAAUGUCAUCGCAGGUAUGCACACGCAGCCAGGGGGCAGAAAGCAGGACAUUUGUUUACUAACGAAGUCAACAGAGAAAGAAAAUGACGAGGAGAUGUUGUGAUGUAAACUUCACGAAUCAGCAAAACAAACAACCGGCAAGUGUUUUUCUGAUU
RNAcentral lists this long non-coding RNA (11315 nucleotides) under Xyrichtys novacula (pearly razorfish). The stretch from base 1830 to 1903 matches the Rfam family "tRNA". Lineage: Eukaryota; Metazoa; Chordata; Actinopteri; Labriformes; Labridae. The record is from RNAcentral.